Long non-coding RNA from Chionomys nivalis (European snow vole), 412 nucleotides. RefSeq lists it as uncharacterized. The record is from RefSeq and is a predicted model, not a curated record. The transcript is spliced from 3 exons. NCBI's taxonomy places the organism in Eukaryota, Metazoa, Chordata, Mammalia, Rodentia, Cricetidae.
GUUGCUCUCCUCUGCAGCUGGAACAAGCCGUGAAUUUCUCAGUGUGGCGCUCAAGACCCUCGGUGGAACAGCCUGGGUCACGCUUUCACCCUCAUUCUGCUCAGAUGCGCAAACUCAGGCAAAAUCUUGGUUCAUAACAUAGAAGAUGUCACUUUAUGAAAAUAGAAGAACUGGAGAAGGCAGAAGCAAAGAACAGAUUAGUCAUUUUAAAAUGACUUGCCUUGAGACAGAAAAGAGGCGUGCAACAAUAGAAAACGGACUGGCUCAUACAAGGUAAAGGAGCCGAGGCUAGCCCGCAAAGGCUUACAGACACACCAUUAGUCAGCACCAAUGGCUAGAUAUGUGGAAGACAACAUAUUAGAAGAAUAGAGCCUCCAACAAGUUGCAGAGAGGGGAGGAGUCAAUGCAGCCA